CUCAGGACGAACGCUGGCGGCGUGCCUAACACAUGCAAGUCGAGCGGGAAAUUAUCGAAUGAAGCUUCGGCAGAAUUUGGUAAUGGAUAGCGGCGGACGGGUGAGUAACGCGUGAGUAACCUGCCCUUAAGAGGGGGAUAACACAGAGAAAUUUGUGCUAAUACCGCAUAAGAUUGUAGUACCGCAUGGUACAGCAAUUAAAGGAGCAAUCCGCUAUGAGAUGGGCCCGCGGCGCAUUAGUUAGUUGGUGAGGUAACGGCUCACCAAGGCGACGAUGCGUAGCCGACCUGAGAGGGUGAUCGGCCACAUUGGGACUGAGACACGGCCCAGACUCCUACGGGAGGCAGCAGUGGGGAAUAUUGCACAAUGGGGGAAACCCUGAUGCAGCAACGCCGCGUGAAGGAAGACGGUCUUCGGAUUGUAAACUUUUGUUCUUGGUGAAGAAAAAUGACGGUAGCCAAGGAGGAAGCCACGGCUAACUACGUG
This 486-nucleotide ribosomal RNA is filed under the name uncultured bacterium. RNAcentral describes it as "bacterial SSU rRNA". It matches the Rfam family "Bacterial small subunit ribosomal RNA", at positions 23 to 507 of the family's 1533-position model. The record is from RNAcentral.